UCAAUAGUUAUGAUAAAAGUCAACAUAUGAGAAAAGUCAACAAUAAUGGUAAAAGUCAACAUUGGUCAGAGCAUGGUGAACAAAAUUGAAAUGAUCAAAGUCAAUCAAUAGUCAAUUAUAAGUCACAAACCAACAAAAUAUAAAGAUUAACAGAGAACCUUUGAACCGUUAAGUAAAAUGAAAUGUAAGGUGGACCAGAUGAAACUUUUAUGGUGUAUUAGAUGAAUUUAG
RNAcentral lists this long non-coding RNA (231 nucleotides) under Lathyrus oleraceus (garden pea). Its description in RNAcentral is "Pisum sativum (pea) long non-coding RNA (PSAT_LNC003755)". Lineage: Eukaryota; Viridiplantae; Streptophyta; Magnoliopsida; Fabales; Fabaceae. The record is from RNAcentral.